UUUAACUUGGCAGAUUAUGCACUUGAUUUAGAGUCGAGAUAAAUAAGUUUCUUAUCUUAUAGUUAUUU
RNAcentral lists this transfer RNA (68 nucleotides) under Ryssota otaheitana. RNAcentral's name for it is "tRNA-Leu". Lineage: Eukaryota; Metazoa; Mollusca; Gastropoda; Stylommatophora; Chronidae. The record is from RNAcentral.